This 663-nucleotide ribosomal RNA is filed under the name uncultured bacterium. RNAcentral's name for it is "bacterial SSU rRNA". It matches the Rfam family "Bacterial small subunit ribosomal RNA", at positions 159 to 809 of the family's 1533-position model. The record is from RNAcentral.
GAUGCUAAUACCGGAUAACAACACUAGACGCAUGUCUAGAGUUUGAAAGAUGGUUCUGCUAUCACUCUUGGAUGGACCUGCGGUGCAUUAGCUAGUUGGUAAGGUAACGGCUUACCAAGGCAAUGAUGCAUAGCCGAGUUGAGAGACUGAUCGGCCACAUUGGGACUGAGACACGGCCCAAACUCCUACGGGAGGCAGCAGUAGGGAAUCUUCCACAAUGGACGAAAGUCUGAUGGAGCAACGCCGCGUGAGUGAAGAAGGGUUUCGGCUCGUAAAGCUCUGUUGGUAGUGAAGAAAGAUAGAGGUAGUAACUGGCCUUUAUUUGACGGUAAUUACUUAGAAAGUCACGGCUAACUACGUGCCAGCAGCCGCGGUAAUACGUAGGUGGCAAGCGUUGUCCGGAUUUAUUGGGCGUAAAGCGAGUGCAGGCGGUUCAAUAAGUCUGAUGUGAAAGCCUUCGGCUCAACCGGAGAAUUGCAUCAGAAACUGUUGAACUUGAGUGCAGAAGAGGAGAGUGGAACUCCAUGUGUAGCGGUGGAAUGCGUAGAUAUAUGGAAGAACACCAGUGGCGAAGGCGGCUCUCUGGUCUGCAACUGACGCUGAGGCUCGAAAGCAUGGGUAGCGAACAGGAUUAGAUACCCUGGUAGUCCAUGCCGUAAACGA